ACUUUUCACCGGAGCCCUUCUGAAUGUCCGUUUGCGCUCAAAUUUGACAGUCAGACUCGAUUUAAGCUAAUAAAAAGAAAUAUAUCUUAACUUUUCAGUUUGGAUAAUUUUUGGUCCCCGAAAGCUCUAACGAACUGAAAUUCUAGCAGAUAGCAGUCGGAUUUUAUUUUUCACUUUUCGGGUGUUGGAAUGACAUGAGACUUUAAAUCUAGCCUCAUAAAAAUAAUUCUGACAUAUUUCCAAGUUUUCAUAAUUUUCUGACACUGUGAAUUUUUUGCUAAAAUAUCGUCCCGUUUCUCACAGAAAAUUUUAAAUCUUCUGUUUCCGUUCUGAUUUCAACACAAGUCGUUUCCGACUUAUGUUUUACUUCUUUAAGUCCAAUAAAAAUAGUAUCUCACACUAUUUUUAUUUAUAUUUACGGUACAUUACAACUCACGUCCUAAAUCCUAAGGUUAAGCAAUUCCCGAAGGAUUUAAAGACGACGGGAAAGCGCAUUGAGCACGAGCGGUGGCUGUGGCAGAGGGCGAGGGAAGGGGCGCAAUAGUGAAAAGAGAUGUAGAUGAUGGAAGAAAGAAAAGAAAAAGAAAAAAUAAAAAGAAAAAUAAAAAAAAACUAUUUUUUUUCUCAUGAGAAGACUAUUAUGUGUCGUCGCUGCUAUAAAAAGGCUAAGAACCAUAGAAGAAAAAGAUAAAAUUGCACUGUUUGAGAAAAAAGUUGAACUGUUUAAGACGAAAAUAGUACUGUUUGAGAUAAAAGUUAUACCAUUUGGGUGAAAUUGCGUUGCUUCGGCGAAAGUUGUACUUUUUUAGCAAAAUUUGCAAUCUUUAAGCGAAAAUUAUACUGUUUGAGAUAAAAUUUGCACUCUUUGAGCAAAAGUUAUACUUUUUAAAUUCUUCGGUAUCCUCGUUGCCGUCACUAUGCGUGGUCAUGCGCUCCGUUGCAAGUUCACCUCUGUGAUCUAUACCAUAUUCGAGUCGGUAUCGACAGAAAUGUAGGCGAGGUAAGAGAGCGAAGCAUGGCGUCGCUAGAGGGGUGGUGGAGGAGGAGGAGAAAGGAGAUAGGCGAGAUAAGAAAGUGGGAAAGAAACAGCGAGGAGGGAGAUGAAUCAGAGCGGAAGGAGAAAAAUGAACGAGCGAAAAAAAAAGAGAGCGCAGCGUCGAUGUAGGAGCGGUGGGAGAUGAGAAGGAGGGAGAGAAAGCAAGAGAAAUAAACAGCAACCACGGAGAUGAAUCGGAGCUGACGAAGAAAAACGAAGGAGCGAAGAAAAAGGAGAAAAAAUAGAAAUAAAUAUAUUUUUGUCAGUUUAUUAAAAAUUUCGGUUGAAUUUGUAAAUUUCAAAAUAGUGAUUCACUUUUGCAAUAUUUUAAUAGUAAUUUUUUUAUGCAAAUUAGCCUAAAAAAUAAAAAGUUUGAAUAUUAAUUAAUUAUUAUUUUUAGAUAUUAGAUAG
RNAcentral lists this long non-coding RNA (1447 nucleotides) under Ananas comosus (pineapple). RNAcentral's name for it is "long non-coding RNA (ACOM_LNC021197)". Lineage: Eukaryota; Viridiplantae; Streptophyta; Magnoliopsida; Poales; Bromeliaceae. The record is from RNAcentral.